AUUGCCUUCACCUGUGCUCCAUGGCUGACUGGGUCCUUUCCCAGGUGCUCAAUCAGUGCUUCAGGCCGUGACUCAACAAUUACCAUACAGAGAGAAUUCUCAGGGAAUUUAGCAUGACCUGUAAAAUUAAUAUUAGACACUCAUUAAAAAGUUUAUUCAGUAAAUACUAUGACACCCCUUAACAUAUAAGCAGUGUACUAAGGAAGCAGACAUGUACAGAAAGUCCUUGGCCUGAAGAACUGAUUUGCUAGUUUGUUGCUACACUGUAAAAAUUCACAGCAAAUAAGUUGCUAUAUUUGUAUGGAUACUACAUGACAUUUCUAUGUAAAUCACAUGUCUCUAAAAGCUCAAGGAAAAAUCCAUAGCAUUGUUUUGGGGAUAUUUACCAGAAGGAUAAGGCAAACUUAGAAAAGUUUUUCAAGGUUUUUCUGAAUGACUUACUAAAAUUAUCUUACAGUAACUUCACUAAGAAAGAAUUCAUCUGUGAAAGCAUACUUGUAACAGUAGCUUUUCAAAUGCUUUAAAUGUUGAUUUAAGGAAAAGAUUUAAGAAGUGGUAACCAACAGUAAUGGCUUUGAACCUGGUCACUGCCUGACCCAGUGAUUCAGCACCUGGUAGGAAGGCAGGGCCAACCCAGGGUAGCUCAGGUGUGUGCAGUGCCCCUGAGUGACUGGAAAGGCUGGAGCCAGGAUCUAACACUUCCCAGUCCUCAUUUAAGGGUUGGCAGUGGAGGUAAGAGUAUCUUGCUGAAGGUCCCUAUCUACUUGAGGCCUUAUGAAGGUAGGUAGUUUCUUUCUUUUAUUUCUAUGCUGAUGGCUGUUGUAUUCGAGCAAGUUCUUUUUUUGCUGCAGCUCAGGACCUUGCUGUUGUUACUGUGUUUUCUUUCUGUUGUAUUAUGUAUUUCCAUCAUAAAAAGCUUUCUGAUUUGUGUGUAAUGAUUUGCUGAAGUUAUUCUUACUCUUGAAAAGGUUGAUUGGACUCUAUUGCUGGAUGAUUGUUUGUUUGUUUUUUCUAAAGCAAUAGCUGCAACUCUGUGUUGACUGUUUCUUGUUGUUUUGUACGGGGAAGAAUACUGAUGUGAUUAUUGCUUCUCCUGCUCUGUAAAGUGAGGCAGAUGGUAAAGCAGAUAUCUCUAAGGUGGUCAUCGCUAGAGUGCCAAAGAAAAAUGCAAAGUGGGGCUACACAGACCAGCAGACACCAUGGCCAUGUUAGCUCUAUGGAAAGUAUCUUCUUGAGAUUAUCACUAAGUUCUUCUGUUACUACUUAAAUGAUAACCCAUUUCAGGGUGAUCUUGUCCUGCCCCCCAGCACCCUGCUUAUCGAGCCUGGUUGGAAAGCCCCUGCAAGUCUGAAGUCAGAUUCAGAAGAAUCAAGGAAGCAUAAGCUGUUCUAAUUGCUAGAGCCCCAGAGAUCCAAGACUGGAUAAGGGAUUAAUAAAAAGAGGAAAGGAACUCCAACCAUGAACUUAUGUUAAUUAAAGGCAAAAGAGAUGUGGAUACAAUUUUCAGGUCACUGCAUAUCUGCUAUUCCCAGGGCUCACUGUAGGGACUUAAUCCUUAUCUAUCUUGACUGCACACUACAAGGGUUAUUUGGCAUUUCUUCAUAAGCUAUAAGAUAUGAAAUGGGCUAAUAAAUUAUGAGAGUCCUUAAAAAGUAUUAAUUGCUUAGAAAAUUAGUAAUGUAUGAAUAACUUAGUUCUGAAAAUCAUACACUAUGUUUAAGCAUUUAUUUUAAAUCACGCCAAAUUUCAGCAAUAAACACCUAAAUUCCCAUUUUACAUGGAUCAGCAAAAAGACAGACUAGAGGCUAAGAAAGAUUAGCAGUUAGAGGAAAACAUAAUUGUAUGACUACUCCCUUAUGCCUGAGGUUUUACUCAGAAAGAAUUCUUUUUAAUGCUGCUUUUGAAUUAUUUCUCUUUUGAUGCCCUAACUUGAAGAGAGCUGGCUGCCACUUACCCAGCAGCCAGAAUGGGCAAAAAGCAUCUCUUUAUUGACUUGUGUCUGAUGUUUUUGUGAGGGCCCUGAAUGGAGCAAAACACCAAUAGCCUCUGGGCUGGUCCUCAGUGGGAAGCUGGGCACUGGGAGUGUGGAGGGGACCUGGAGCACAGGUGGACUUCCUGCCUUCUACCCAACAAGUGGGAGCAGCACCUGCUGCAGGAGUGUACCAAAAGGGGGCCUGCUCAUUUUUGUAAUUUAUGAUGUAAGAGGAAUAUGGCAACUUGGAGUAAACAAUUACAGUUGCCCUCCUAGGGAAAAAUGAAGGCUGUAGUGCUACCUGUGUGAACAUGUCAGGAGUGAGGCAUGCUACAGGGAUGAACAAAGGCUGCAGACCAUGUGCUACAACCCUUUCAGUAGUUUUGAAAGGCACCAGCAGAGCAGCUCACAAGCGUUAACCUGGAUGAACUCUUAGAAGUAUCAUUACAUGUGUAAGCUUGAGACAGACUCCCGAGGGGGAAAGUUGGUUUACUACCACUAAUUGAGAUACAUUCACAUAGCCGCAAAAUAUUCUCCUGGGGCAUUCCUACUGUUUGUAAAAUAGCAGUCAAUUUACUAAGGCAUGUGCAACAUCUACCACAUGUUACAUCUAACCCAGGGAAUAUAUUUCUAGGAGUUCAUUAUACAAAAUUAAGACUACAGUUAACAACAACAAUAAAAAAAAGCAAAACUGUUGUGCCUAGGAAGACUGGCAACCAGAUUCUUGGAGGAAAAUGGCAGGCUGUAAAUGAAUCUGUGAUAUUGGGUAAUUCCCUGAAAGCCUGAAGGAUUUGGCUUUAUGACACAAAUUCUUCUCUCUGGAAAUGUGGCCUCCCUGCACAUGCUGUGUGGAGGCUGGAGCUGGAAGCUGUCAGCUGUCUGGCAUGCAAGGUGUCAGGCAGUGGCGUGCACUAGCAGCCAGAUCCCAUCCAUCCUGCCAGGUAGAGAACUGAGAGGAAGGGGUUCUCCACCAUGGAAAAUCUUCUAGCCCACUUGACAGCUGGUAUCCUUGUACACCCUGUGGCUGUGCUUACUCCACCAAAGUUCUGCUAGAGAAAGCUUUAUAUUAACACACACUGUUUACUAACACCUUUUCAGAUCCUAGUAUAACCAAGCUGCUAAAAAUUUGCAGUCAUUAGCUGGUUAAAAUGAAGCCUAGCAUGAAGCCCAAGGUCUAGCUUGAUAAGUCUAACGUGAUAAAGUGCAGGCUGUCAUCACAGGAAUGCAAGCAAUUACUGGGUGAUUGCUCACAAUUUAAGUGCCCCAUUAGGAGUAAUUAUACCUGUAUUAAAUUUAUUUGUUUUUAAAUAACCAGUAUGUUACGAAACACUAUUAUUUACAAAGCUAUUUGUAUUCUGGCAUGUUUAAAUGUGAGGCUUUGAAAACGUAACUAAUUUCAAACUACUUCCUUUUACCCUCAUCAAGCCUGCUCUUCUUUGAGGCGGGCCGUUGUAACCUCCUGCCUUUGUUAUUCACCCUGCGCAACAGAAAGCAGCCUGAAAAAGAACUGGUCUCCUCUUGGAUAAAGUGGAAACACCUUAGAAACUGAAGUUUCUGCAAUUUCAAUUUGGCAAGAUUUUACACAUGCCUCUCCUGACACUUUGAGGCUUCAAGAAAUUUGC
Long non-coding RNA from Phasianus colchicus (ring-necked pheasant), 3594 nucleotides. RefSeq lists it as uncharacterized. NCBI's taxonomy places the organism in Eukaryota, Metazoa, Chordata, Aves, Galliformes, Phasianidae. The record is from RefSeq and is a predicted model, not a curated record.